GGGACACGUGGUAUCCUGUCUGAAUAUGGGGGGACCAUCCUCCAAGGCUAAAUACUCCUGACUGACCGAUAGUGAACCAGUACCGUGAGGGAAAGGCGAAAAGAACCCCGGCGAGGGGAGUGAAAAAGAACCUGAAACCGUGUACGUACAAGCAGUGGGAGCACAGAGCAAUCUGUGUGACUGCGUACCUUUUGUAUAAUGGGUCAGCGACUUAUAUUCUGUAGCAAGGUUAACCGAAUAGGGGAGCCGAAGGGAAACCGAGUCUUAACUGGGCGUUAAGUUGCAGGGUAUAGACCCGAAACCCGGUGAUCUAGCCAUGGGCAGGUUGAAGGUUGGGUAACACUAACUGGAGGACCGAACCGACUAAUGUUGAAAAAUUAGCGGAUGACUUGUGGCUGGGGGUGAAAGGCCAAUCAAACCGGGAGAUAGCUGGUUCUCCCCGAAAGCUAUUUAGGUAGCGCCUCGUGAAUUCAUCUCCGGGGGUAGAGCACUGUUUCGGCAAGGGGGUCAUCCCGACUUACCAACCCGAUGCAAACUGCGAAUACCGGAGAAUGUUAUCACGGGAGACACACGGCGGGUGCUAACGUCCGUCGUGAAGAGGGAAACAACCCAGACCGCCAGCUAAGGUCCCAAAGUCAUGGUUAAGUGGGAAACGAUGUGGGAAGGCCCAGACAGCCAGGAUGUUGGCUUAGAAGCAGCCAUCAUUUAAAGAAAGCGUAAUAGCUCACUGGUCGAGUCGGCCUGCGCGGAAGAUGUAACGGGGCUAAACCAUGCACCGAAGCUGCGGCAGCGACGCUUAUGCGUUGUUGGGUAGGGGAGCGUUCUGUAAGCCUGCGAAGGUGUGCUGUGAGGCAUGCUGGAGGUAUCAGAAGUGCGAAUGCUGACAUAAGUAACGAUAAAGCGGGUGAAAAGCCCGCUCGCCGGAAGACCAAGGGUUCCUGUCCAACGUUAAUCGGGGCAGGGUGAGUCGACCCCUAAGGCGAGGCCGAAAGGCGUAGUCGAUGGGAAACAGGUUAAUAUUCCUGUACUUGGUGUUACUGCGAAGGGGGGACGGAGAAGGCUAUGUUGGCCGGGCGACGGUUGUCCCGGUUUAAGCGUGUAGGCUGGU
RNAcentral lists this ribosomal RNA (1108 nucleotides) under Escherichia coli. RNAcentral describes it as "partial 23S ribosomal RNA". It matches the Rfam family "Bacterial large subunit ribosomal RNA", at positions 419 to 1529 of the family's 2925-position model. The record is from RNAcentral. Lineage: Bacteria; Pseudomonadati; Pseudomonadota; Gammaproteobacteria; Enterobacterales; Enterobacteriaceae.